RNAcentral lists this long non-coding RNA (570 nucleotides) under Mytilus galloprovincialis (Mediterranean mussel). The record is from RNAcentral. Lineage: Eukaryota; Metazoa; Mollusca; Bivalvia; Mytilida; Mytilidae.
CUCUUGUUUAAGCUUAAAUUAGGCAAUGUUUUUCCCAGUUUCUCUGGAUAAAACUUUUUUAUACUAUUAAAAGUACACUUUUUUUUUAUUCCAUUAUAAACUAGAGAACAUUCUGAUUCCAGUGAUAUCUAGUUUUAUACAAGUAUCUUUAUUAAUCAGUCCACCACUAAGGGUCACUUAUACAUGGUCCCUCAAAAUAUGACGUCAUAGAAAAAAACUGUUGAUUGCACCCUUAACAAGAAAAGAAAACUCUCCACCAGAAAUCAAGUGACAUCGAAGUUAACUGUUAACAUGUACAACAAUAGGUCACUUUACAUCCUUCAACAAUGACUAUGAGCAAAGCCAAUACUGCAUAUUCAGUUUUUAAGGACCCUAUAUGAGAAUCACAAAUUUGUAAAUCAAUUCAAACAAGAAAACUAAGAGACUGAUUUAUACAAUGUAAAAUAUAAAAAACAGAACAAAAAAAAAUAUGAUAAACAGCAAGAUAAGACAAAUUGAACCACUAAAUUACACUUAUUUAGUUAGAAAUAUGUGUCGGAUGACCCCUCUUGCUAACUAACAUGCCAACAU